CACAAAUCAAUCAAAUUGAAAGGGGAUUUGGAGUCUAGGUAAAUGUAUGAGAUAAGAAUGGUGAUCACCUAAGUGUUUCUUGUAUCAAGCACAAAGAAGGAGGAAGGCGCAAGUCACUCAAAGGCACAAUCAUCACAAGAUCGCGGUAAAUCUCAUGCUUGAUUGCGGCGCAUUCGGAGCGAACACACAAUUGUCAACCU
Long non-coding RNA from Helianthus annuus (common sunflower), 200 nucleotides. RefSeq lists it as uncharacterized. The record is from RefSeq and is a predicted model, not a curated record. The transcript is spliced from 3 exons. Lineage: Eukaryota; Viridiplantae; Streptophyta; Magnoliopsida; Asterales; Asteraceae.